CGGGCGCUGAUUGAUUUGAUGAGACUCCGUUGUGACUUGUAUGAUCAGAUUAGCUCACAUGAACCUAGCGCACGCGCAGAGAGGCGGCCAUUGAAGCUCGGACGAAGCAAAGGCAAUUGCGAGGAUUGAGGCUCACGAGCCGCGACAGACGUCGAAGGCGGAACUGCUGAGCCAGCUGAAGGGACAUCAAGGCCGAGCUCGCUCUCCUUCACGCCGCCCGAGGUCACCGGAGGUGCGACGAACCAAGCUCUCCAACAUGUAAGUCUAGGCCUACGUCACGUAUCUAUGUGCAUUCGCGUGGUUCUAUGGCUUUGUUCGAGAAUGUGAUUGCAUUAGUGAAAUGGUAAGUAGUUUGAGCUAAUUUUGGAGGUAUCUUUGGUUCGGUAACGAGUAGGCGGUUUUGAGUUCAAAAGAGAAAUAUAUGGAUGAAGUAUUCAUCGACUCUGUUAACUAUAGUAUUGCCACCUCCUAUACUAAUUUUUGGCUAUCUUUCAAUCUUAUACGUUCUUUUUAUUUAUCCA
Syzygium oleosum is the source of this 521-nucleotide long non-coding RNA. RefSeq lists it as uncharacterized. The transcript has 2 exons. NCBI's taxonomy places the organism in Eukaryota, Viridiplantae, Streptophyta, Magnoliopsida, Myrtales, Myrtaceae. The record is from RefSeq and is a predicted model, not a curated record.